RNAcentral lists this ribosomal RNA (442 nucleotides) under uncultured bacterium. RNAcentral's name for it is "partial 16S ribosomal RNA". It matches the Rfam family "Bacterial small subunit ribosomal RNA", at positions 338 to 795 of the family's 1533-position model. The record is from RNAcentral.
CCUACGGGUGGCAGCAGUGGGGGAUAUUGCACAAUGGGGGAAACCCUGAUGCAGCGACGCCGCGUGGGGGAAGAAGUAUUUCGGGAGGUAAAGCCCUAUCAGCAGGGAAGAAGAAAGGACGGUACCUGAGUAAGAAGCACCGGCUAAAUACGGGCCAGCAGCCGCGGUAAUACGUAUGGUGCAAGCGUUAUCCGGAUUUACUGGGGGUAAAGGGAGCGAAGGCGGCACGGCAAGCCUGAUGUGAAAGCCCGCGGCCCAACCGCGGGACUGCAUUGGGAACUACCGGGCUGGAGUGCCGGAGAGGUAGGCGGAAUUCCUCGUGUAGCGGUGCAAUGCGUAGAUAUUAGGAGGCACCCCAGUGGCGAAGGCGGCCUACUGGACGGUGACUGACGCUGAGGCUCGAAAGCGUGGGGAGCAAACAGGAUUAGCUACCCGUGUAGUC